RNAcentral lists this ribosomal RNA (502 nucleotides) under uncultured Glaciecola sp. RNAcentral's name for it is "bacterial SSU rRNA". It matches the Rfam family "Bacterial small subunit ribosomal RNA", at positions 551 to 1050 of the family's 1533-position model. The record is from RNAcentral. Lineage: Bacteria; Pseudomonadati; Pseudomonadota; Gammaproteobacteria; Alteromonadales; Alteromonadaceae.
UUACUGGGCGUAAAGCGCACGCAGGCGGUCUGUUAAGCUAGAUGUGAAAGCCCCGCGCUCAACGUGGGAGGGUCAUUUAGAACUGGCAGACUAGAGUCUUGGAGAGGGGAGUGGAAUUCCAGGUGUAGCGGUGAAAUGCGUAGAGAUCUGGAGGAACAUCAAUGGCGAAGGCAACUCCCUGGCCAAAGACUGACGCUCAUGUGCGAAAGUGUGGGUAGCGAACAGGAUUAGAUACCCUGGUAGUCCACACCGUAAACGCUGUCUACUAGCUGUUUGUGGAUUUAAUCCGUGAGUAGCGAAGCUAACGCGAUAAGUAGACCGCCUGGGGAGUACGGCCGCAAGGUUAAAACUCAAAGGAAUUGACGGGGGCCCGCACAAGCGGUGGAUUAUGUGGAUUAAUUCGAUGCAACGCGAAAAACCUUACCUGGCCUUGACAUGUACCGAAUUUAGCAGAGAUGCUUUAGUGCUCGUAAGAGAACGGUAACACAGGUGCUGCAUGGCU